GUAGUGUGAUCUCUGGCGGUAGAGCACUGUUAUUUUACCUGCCAAAUCAGAGCAUGGUCAUGCGCUGGCUGGGGCCGAGAGUCCCAGGGGGAUGGCCAGGAGGGGCCUGGGGCACCAGCUGCCCACGUGGAGUCUGAAAUGAUUCCCCCAUGCCUCGCCAUCCAUCCAGGAAACAUGGACCGAGUGACGGGUCUCAGUCUCGGCACUGUGCGUACAGCAGAGGAAGGAUCACACACGAAAACAAACCCUGCCCUCAUGCCACUUACUGUCUUGUGGGGGGAAGAAAUGAAACGAGUAAAAUGUAAGUGCUGGCGAGAACAUCGAGGCGGGAUGCGGCUCCUGAGUGUGGGGGGAGCAGGCGCAAAGCUAAAGAGGUCAGGGACAACCUCGUGGAGAAGGUGAUCCUUCUGUGAGGCUCUCUCUGCAGGAGGUAGAGGAGGAAGCCAUGCGGCUCUGGGAAGUUGUGUCGGAAAGGAAUGCCAGGCAGAGAAACCAGGAAGGCCAAGGACCGCCACUUGUGAGCAGCAGCCAAGAAGUCACGGCAAAAACAGUAGAGCGGGGGAAGCGUUAAGUCCUGACUUACGGACACCAGAACUCCUCCCCUGCUCUGCUGAGAAUAAACCACCAUGCUGCAGGGUGGCAGAGUUAUCUUUUCCCUGGGUUUGCUCUGCCUGUACGAUGAAAUACGUGAGAUUCUGUAAUGGAUGGAAUGUGUCCUCCCAGAACUGGUAUGUUGACGCCCUGACCCCCCCAGUGUGAUAAGGGUUGGAUGAGGUCAUGAGGUGGGGCCCUCCUGAUGGGGCUAGUGUCCUACUAAGAAGAGACCAGAGAGAGAGCUUGGUCUUUCUCUCUGACAGGUGAAGACACAGCAAGAAGGUGGCCUUCUACAAGCCAGGAAGAGAGCCCUCGCCAGGCAUCCAAUUGGUCAGCACCUUGAUCAAAGACUUCCCAGCCUCCAGAACUGUGACAAAUAAAGUUCUGCUGUUUAAGACUCCCAGGCUGCGGUGUUUUAUUAUGCAGCCCAAGCCAACUGAUACAGAUUCCAGCUAAGCUCCAACCCAGAACCUCUGAGGCUCAGGAAGAGGCACAGGAAGGAGAGGGAAAAGCCAAAACCUGGGGGGAUAAUGCUCAAUCCAGUGAAGCGGUCACUUGGCAAAUUUGCCUUUUGGGAAAUUGAUUUGGGGCAUGUGGUGACCUGUUUCCAGAAGGACGUGUGUCCAGGAUUCAGAAUUGUCAUUUCCUAGCUGUGUGAUCUUGGAUAAGUAUUUAAAAAAAAAAAAAAAAAAACAAAAUUGCCCCUUCCCUCAGUUUACCCACUUACCUGAAAAAGAGAGCUACAGUAAACUUUCUUCACCUCAGACAUGACGGGAGGAUGAAACAAUCAAACACAAGUGCCUGCUCUCAGCUCAGAAACACUGGCUAUCGUUAUUCUGUCUGUUGUGUUGAGGAUAAAGAGAUAACAAAUAUGAGAACACGUUGAAAAAAUACUAUACACGCCCAAAGCGUUAUUAAAAUUAAUAUUAAGCAAAACUGUUCUGAGUGUCGAUGGUGAAAUCCGGACUCCCUGCAGCUAUUGGCUGUCUCUGUCAUAACCACUUGCCAGCAUUCUCUGGGGGUAGAUCCUGGAGCCACAAACACCACGGUCACAAGCCACGCCAAAGGGAAAAGCGAAGAGUCCGUCUGGUUUGUGAACUCGAAGCUCCAAACUCCGGUUCCUUGUCACACAGUUGCACGGCUGGUUGUCUGUGCCAUUUUGGCUAGGAGUUAGGUCCCUCUGCCUGGGCAGACUCUGGUGACAGUCGUCACGGCCUUUGGAACACCCUACCUAGCAGCCAAUCUGGUUUUAGACAGUUUAAACAGUAUGAGGCCAAGUUGAGAUGCAGAGUGGAUGUGAGGGAAAUCUCCCCUUGGAUGCCAACUGCAAGUUGGCAAGUGUGAGUUACGUGUUAAAAUCAGAAACAUCCACAAGAAUGAUUUGCCCCAGGCCCUUGGCUUGGGGCUCCGGCAAGAAAAGCCGUAAGUCUGUGCAUAGGUCUAGACUGUAAGGCACGCAAGGGCAGGAAUAUCUAUGUAUUUUACGCACUGCAUGAUCCUGGUACCUCGCCCGGAGGGAGUUCGAUCAAUACUGGCCGGAUGAAUGCACCUCACAGGAUCCGACUGUGGCCAAGCCUGCUCUGUCCCGCCCGCAGAGCUCAGCCCUGUCUCUUCACUUCCCUAACCUCACAUGGCCUUUCUGAGUUCCCCUUCCUCUGAGGUCCUCCCUCAGAAAAGCGCACUUGUUGAAAUCCUGCUUUAGGUAACAAUCACACGUGUCCUGUCUUCU
This is a long non-coding RNA of Herpailurus yagouaroundi (jaguarundi), 2323 nucleotides long. RefSeq lists it as uncharacterized. The transcript is spliced from 2 exons. NCBI's taxonomy places the organism in Eukaryota, Metazoa, Chordata, Mammalia, Carnivora, Felidae. The record is from RefSeq and is a predicted model, not a curated record.